GUUGUUGCUGGCCCUCGAAUGGGGGCAUGUGCACACUCUGUUUACACAUCCACUCACACCUGUGCACUCUCUGUAGUACUGUGGUCUGGGGGUUCUGUCCUCCUACUGUGGUUCUGCGUAUUUACACACACACUGUAAUAAAGUCUCAUGGAAUGUAUGUCGCGUUUAACGCAAUGAAAUACAACUUUCAGCAACGGAUCUCUUGGCUCUCGCAUCGAUGAAGAACGCAGCGAAAUGCGAUAAGUAAUGUGAAUUGCAGAAUUCAGUGAAUCAUCGAAUCUUUGAACGCACCUUGCGCCCUUUGGCUAUUCCGAAGGGCAUGCCUGUUUGAGUAUCAUGAACACCUCAACUCUCAUGGCUUGCCAUGAUGAGCUUGGACUUGGGGGUUUUGCUGGCCUGUGGUCAGCUCCCCUCAAAUGCAUCAGCUUUCCAGUGUUUGGUGGCACCACAGGUGUGAUAAACAUCUACACAUGUGGUUCCCCACCAUAUAACCUUCAGUGAUGGAGGUUCGCUGGAGCUCACAAAUGUCUUUCCUCAGUGAAGACAGUUCUUUGAUUGUUUGAUCUCAAAUCAGGUAGGACUACCCGCUGAACUUAAGCAUAUCAAUAAGCGGAGGAAAAGAAACUAACAAGGAUUCCCCUAGUAACUGCGAGUGAAGCGGGAAGAGCUCAAAUUUAAAAUCUGAUGUGCCUCUGGCCGUCCGAAUUGUAGUCUGGAGAAGCGUUUUCCGUGCUGGA
Molecule: ribosomal RNA, 737 nt
Filed under: uncultured fungus
Lineage: Eukaryota; Fungi
Description: eukaryotic LSU rRNA
Rfam family: 5.8S ribosomal RNA (bases 183-337)
Source: RNAcentral